UUUGUGACCUGGUCCACUAACCC
Molecule: microRNA, 23 nt
Filed under: Mus musculus (house mouse)
Lineage: Eukaryota; Metazoa; Chordata; Mammalia; Rodentia; Muridae
Also listed under: 1 other name
Source: RNAcentral